ACUAAAAAAUGCAAAUGUAAAACAAUCAACAUUAUAGUUCAUAAAACUGCUAACAGCCAAGUAUAAAUAACUGACAAGUGCCUAAGUUAUAUAUUUAAAGAUCUAAUUAGAAUUGAGAGUUUAUGUUUUGAAUUGAAAAGAUAAUGGAGAAAACAAUAUUUGGUGAGUACCUAUUCUUGUACAUUGUAAUAAGUAAAAAUAUAUUAGGCUCCUCAUUGGUGGUGGAAUAUUGUUCCAACACUUGGACGCAGCAUAACGAAAACUUCCUCUAAAGGCUGCUGAACUGUUUUGAGGUAUUGUGAUUUGCAUAGCAGCUUUUCGAGUAUCACAGGACCUACGACUUGAAAACCAGGAAAGCUUUUUAUAUAAAAACUCCACAACAUAAAGUAACCAUUUUUAGAAGUACAGCUGGGUGUGGUGGAUGUAUAAGCAUCAAUCUGAUAAGGAAUUAUAUUCCAUGAAAUUUGGGCAGUGUUUAAAUCACCAGCUACUAAUGCAUCACUGUUAUCUAUCAGAGUAAUAGCCCUAGUGAUACAGUAUAAUUGAUUUUCAAUCCAAAGCAAAACAAAACAAAACAUUGUUAAAGGUGGCAAGUAUACAUCACAAUGACAUAAACUAUUAAAUAU
Molecule: long non-coding RNA, 626 nt
Organism: Leptidea sinapis
Lineage: Eukaryota; Metazoa; Arthropoda; Insecta; Lepidoptera; Pieridae
Exons: 3
Source: RefSeq, a predicted model, not a curated record